UAAUCCGAGCGCACCAACGCGUCGGAAAUACCCCCAAUUAGGUUUUUAGAGGGUCAAUUGCACUUAGAAACCCUCAUGAGCAAAAGCCCCAAUUUGGUGCCCUAGCUCCAAUGCAUAUACAAAACCUAGGGUUUGAUCUCAUUGGGAAGCAAAAAUAGCUUCAUUAUACUCUAAAUAGUCCAUUAAAACCAUUCCUAGCUCAUUCCAAACCCUAGUUUGGAUUUCACCAGUAGAGGUGAUGAAGCUCACCUCAAGCUUCACCAUUUCCAUGGCCUUGAUCUCAAAAGAAGCAAAAGAAAAGCUUCCAAUACUCCAAAAGCUCCAUAAAAACCAUUUCUAGGUUUUCCAAAACCCUAGUUUGGGAGUUAACAUGAAAAAGGGCAAAGCUUACCUCAAAGCUUGCUCCUUUCUUGCACUAGAGAAGGAGAGGAGAGGCUUUCUUCUUCUCCUUGUCUUCUUCUUCACUUUCUUCCUCUUCUUUUCCUUCUUUUCUUCCUUUCUUCUUCUUCUCCUUUGUCUUCUAGAGAGAGAGAGGGAGAGAAGAGAGUGUGUGUGAGGGAGAGAAUGAGAGAAAAGGCUCUCUCAGCCCUCUACAUAGCUAUUGGAUUGCAUAAUUGCAAAUAAACCCCUCAACUUUCACUUUAAUACACUGCCUGAACUGGGCAGUUCGCGCAGGCAGGGACCGGUCUCUCCUUUAGGGACCGGUUCCCGAACGUCGUCCCAGCGCAGCCAGAGCUGCUGCGCGCAGUGCAACCGGUCUCUCCUUGUGGGACCGGUCUCUCGGGGACCGGUCUCUCAGGCAGGGACCGGUUCCCGAGAGCUAAUUUCUCAGGACUUAGCCGAUUUUUCGGCUGUCUCAUUUCACACGCGUUCGGGGACCGGUCUCUCCCACCAGGGACCGGUCCCCGAGAGC
Molecule: long non-coding RNA, 913 nt
Filed under: Ananas comosus (pineapple)
Lineage: Eukaryota; Viridiplantae; Streptophyta; Magnoliopsida; Poales; Bromeliaceae
Description: long non-coding RNA (ACOM_LNC001697)
Source: RNAcentral